This 254-nucleotide ribosomal RNA is filed under the name uncultured bacterium. RNAcentral's name for it is "partial 16S ribosomal RNA". It matches the Rfam family "Bacterial small subunit ribosomal RNA", at positions 524 to 776 of the family's 1533-position model. The record is from RNAcentral.
GACGAACCGUGCGAACGUUGUUCGGAAUCACUGGGCUUAAAGGGCGCGUAGGCGGGCUAUCAAGUCUGGGGUGAAAUCCCGCGGCUCAACCGUGGAACUGCCUUAGAUACUGACGGCCUUGAGGAAGGUAGGGGCAUGCGGAACUGUAGGUGGAGCGGUGAAAUGCGUUGAUAUCUACAGGAACUCCGGUGGCGAAAGCGGCGUGCUGGACCUUUUACUGACGCUGAGGCGCGAAAGCGUGGGGAGCAAACAGG